CGGAAGCUGAGAAGUAAUAAUACUGACGCGUUUUAAUUGGCUGGCCCGUGUAUUAUCACACUGAUUACACCUCGUUACAAGAUGACAUGAUUUAAAUGAGAAAGAGAUGGAGAGAUUGGAAGAUUGCAACAAUUCCGCUGGGGAUAAAUCAACCUUGUUGUUGCUGCUUCAAACACGCGCGCGACUGUCCUGAUCAUCCGUGCACGCUAAUAAUGCUAUACGCUGUCAAAAACGAAUCUCAGAUCACCUUACCAAUCGAUGGUCUCCUGUCCUCCAGUUCAGCAGUCCAUGGCCUCCUCCCUUCCAGUUCAACAAUGAAUGUCUUCCUCUCCUUCAACGUACCAGUUGAUGGUCUCCUGUCCUCCAACCUACUUUACUACUUCUAGCUACACUGUAUAUCAUUCUGUCAUCAUGUUUAGUGUUGCCGGUAAGCCAG
Long non-coding RNA from Puntigrus tetrazona (Sumatra barb), 436 nucleotides. RefSeq lists it as uncharacterized. The transcript is spliced from 3 exons. The record is from RefSeq and is a predicted model, not a curated record. NCBI's taxonomy places the organism in Eukaryota, Metazoa, Chordata, Actinopteri, Cypriniformes, Cyprinidae.